Molecule: ribosomal RNA, 500 nt
Filed under: uncultured bacterium
Lineage: Bacteria
Description: partial 16S ribosomal RNA
Rfam family: Bacterial small subunit ribosomal RNA
Source: RNAcentral
AUUGAACGCUGGCGGCAGGCCUAACACAUGCAAGUCGAGCGGUAGAGAGAGGCUUGCUUCUCUUGAGAGCGGUGGACGGGUGAGUAAUGCCUAGGAAUCUGCCUGGUAGUGGGGGAUAACGUUCGGAAACGGACGCUAAUACCGCAUACGUCCUACGGGAGAAAGCAGGGGACCUUCGGGCCUUGCGCUAUCAGAUGAGCCUAGGUCGGAUUAGCUAGUUGGUGGGGUAAUGGCUCACCAAGGCGACGAUCCGUAACUGGUCGGAGAGGAUGAUCAGUCACACUGGAACUGAGACACGGUCCAGACUCCUACGGGAGGCAGCAGUGGGGAAUAUUGGACAAUGGGCGAAAGCCUGAUCCAGCCAUGCCGCGUGUGUGAAGAAGGUCUUCGGAUUGUAAAGCACUUUAAGUUGGGAGGAAGGGCAGUAAAUUAAUACUUUGCUGUUUUGACGUUACCGACAGAAUAAGCACCGGCUAACCCUGUGCCAGCCGCCGCCGUAA